CAGCAAGUCGAUCUCCUCCUUUUCUAUUGACGGAACAUUGACAUUGGAACCAGUGAGGCUCGCCAAACAUUGGCCCACAUGUACAAAAAAUCUUAAAGCAUCGACAGAUUGCUUCUUCCCUUUUUGUUCAUUAAGGAACAACCUCUCGACUGGCGGUAGGAGAUUCCUCAGGUACUCUACCAUGGAUUGGAGGUUCUCUCCUGCGAAUGGAGCACGAAGCAUUGGAUUUGAGGGUCCUACAGGAGAAGUGGAUGCAAGAAAGCACCAAG
Molecule: long non-coding RNA, 269 nt
Filed under: Elaeis guineensis (African oil palm)
Lineage: Eukaryota; Viridiplantae; Streptophyta; Magnoliopsida; Arecales; Arecaceae
Description: long non-coding RNA (EGUI_LNC036279)
Source: RNAcentral